AUUGAACGCUAGCGGGAUGCCUUACACAUGCAAGUCGAACGAGUUGCGAACGGGUGAGUAACGCGAAGGUAACUGACUCAUAGCGGGGGAUAACUAUUGUACACGAUAGGUAAUACCGCAUACUGUGAGGUAGACCUGCGUUGUAUUAGCUAGUUGGUGAGGUAAAGGCUCACCAAGGCGACGCUACAUAGCCGGCUUGAGAGGGUGAUCGGGCACACUGGGAAUGAGACAACGCCCAGACUCCUACGGGAGGCAGCAGGAGGGAAGUUUCGGCAAUGGAGGGAAGUCUGACCGAGCAACACCGCGUGAGUGAAGAAGGUUUUCGGAUCGUAAAGCUCUGUUGUUCGAGAAGCGGUAACUAACCAGAAAGCGACGGCUAACUCCGUGCCAGCAGCCGCGGUAAUAC
RNAcentral lists this ribosomal RNA (406 nucleotides) under uncultured bacterium. Its description in RNAcentral is "partial 16S ribosomal RNA". It matches the Rfam family "Bacterial small subunit ribosomal RNA", at positions 30 to 526 of the family's 1533-position model. The record is from RNAcentral.